RNAcentral lists this ribosomal RNA (440 nucleotides) under uncultured bacterium. RNAcentral's name for it is "partial 16S ribosomal RNA". It matches the Rfam family "Bacterial small subunit ribosomal RNA", at positions 338 to 795 of the family's 1533-position model. The record is from RNAcentral.
CCUACGGGAGGCAGCAGUGGGGAAUAUUGCACAAUGGGGGAAACCCUGAUGCAGCAACGCCGCGUGCGUGAGGAAGGAGUUCAGUAUGUAAAGCUCUAUCAGCAGGGAAGCAAAUGACAGUACCUGACUAGGAAUGCGCGGCUAACUACGUGCCAGCAGCCGCGGUAAUACGGAGGGGUCAAGCGUUAUCCGGAUGAACUGGGUGUAAAGUGAGCGUAGACGGGUUCUCAAGUCAGAAGUGAAAGGCCGGGGCUCAACCGCUGGCCUGCUUGUGAAACUGUGUAGCUAGAGUGCAGGAGAGGCAAGUGGAAUUCGUAGUGUAGCGGUGAAAUGCGUAGAUAUUAGGAGGAACCCCGGUGGCGAAGGCGGCGUACUGGACUGUAACUGACGUUGAGGCUCGAAAGCGCGGGGAGCGAACAGGAUUAGAUACCCUUGUAGUC